Molecule: ribosomal RNA, 518 nt
Filed under: uncultured Planctomycetota bacterium
Lineage: Bacteria; Pseudomonadati; Planctomycetota
Description: bacterial SSU rRNA
Rfam family: Bacterial small subunit ribosomal RNA
Source: RNAcentral
UCGAGAAUCUUCCGCAAUGGGCGCAAGCCUGACGGAGCGACGCCGCGUGUGGGAUGAAGGCCUUCGGGUUGUAAACCACUGUCGUAGGGGAGGAAGGACCGGUGAAGAGCCGGUUUUGACCUAUCCUAGGAGGAAGGGUGGGCUAAGUUCGUGCCAGCAGCCGCGGUAAGACGAACCACCCAAACGUUAUUCGGAAUUACUGGGCUUAAAGGGUGCGUAGGCGGCGCGGAAAGUCAGGUGUGAAAUCCCUCGGCUCAACCGAGGAAUGGCGCUUGAAACUACCGUGCUCGAGGAAGACAGAGGUAAGCGGAACUUCGGGUGGAGCGGUGAAAUGCGUUGAUAUCCGAAGGAACGCCGGCGGCGAAAGCGGUGCACUGGGCCUUGUCUGACGCUGAGGCACGAAAGCCAGGGGAGUGAACGGGAUUAGAUACCCCGGUAAUCCUGGCCGUAAACACUGAGCACUGGAGGAGAGAGGCUUCGGCCUUUCUCCUCGCAGCGAAAGCGUUAAGUGCUCCGCC